Molecule: non-coding RNA, 287 nt
Organism: Oryctolagus cuniculus (rabbit)
Lineage: Eukaryota; Metazoa; Chordata; Mammalia; Lagomorpha; Leporidae
Source: RefSeq, a predicted model, not a curated record
UUCUAGAGCCUCAAACUCAUUCUUUAUGAGGGAAUGGGCAAAGAGGGCUCCAAACCGAGCUAAAGGGCAGGAGGACUGGGGCACAGUGGGAUGUCCCUAAGGAUGGUGAUGACAGGAACAGCAGCAAGUACUGCCCCUGCUGAGCUAAGGAAGGGCCAGGAGCUGAUCUAAAGGGCUUCACGUGUUUGAACUCAGCUGAAUUCUCACCGCAACACCAGGGGAUGAAUACCAUUGUUGGCAUCUGUGUAGGUUUAUGACUGACAACGGAGAGAGACUUGCUUAAAUCA